GCUGAGACUAGUCUCAAAUUUGCAAUCCUCCUGCCUCAGCCUUCUGAGUGGCUGGGAUUGCAGGUGUGUGCUACCACACCCGGCUCCCCUUCUGGCUUCUGAGCAGAGUCCUGCUAAGUCUAAACAAAGCUGUUAGGACAACAGGUAGAUAGACUUAGGCCUUUCCAAUUUCCUGGUGAUGAAGACAGGUUAAGCAAACCUCCCCUCAGCCAUGAAGACUGAUGUUGGGUUUGAAUGUCUGUUUUAUGAACACUUUCUCGCAGAGCAGUGCACCCAGCAGGUGUGCCAGCACCCUGCUACUGUGGCUCAGCUGGCAGGGCUAUCAGCUUCGGAGCCCACAGGCCCCAGACCUAUUGAUUAAGAUCUGCCAUAAAGGUACCAGAGGCCCUGAGCCCAAGGGUAACUUGAGGAGGCCCAGAGAUCCAGCAGUUCCUGAGCAAGCCUGGGAGGGCCAUGCCCCUGGGGUGGGCAGUGGGGUGUGUUACACAUUGUGGGAGGGAGAUGUGUGCUGUACCUGCACUGGUCCUACAGGUGAUCGCAGGCUGGCCUCUAGGGCUCAAGGCCUGUGAAGGGGAUCAUUCAUGGGGAGCAACAGAUAUGCCAGGCAGCUUUGGAUUUGGGGACUUUCAGUGUUCCCGUUGUGUUCUCUGGCCAUUAGUAUGAGUCCUAUUCUCAACACAGGCAGGUUUGUGUUUGGGGGUUUGGUUUUUAGAUGCUGCUUCUAGGUCCUCCCUGUAAAAGUUUCCAAAGGAACAGCCAGCACUUUCCCUCCUGGCUGCUCUGGUUAGGAGAGCCACAUAGCCUUUGCUUCUCUCCAGCGGACCUUCAGCAUUUCUUUUUAUCAGACUGUUGGUCAAAUUCACAUCCAGAAGAGCCUCCUCCAGACAACCCUGCAGAUUCCUGGGGCCUCGGCCUCUACCCCAGCCUUGAGACUGUGCAAGUGGAAGGUGGCCCAGCCCUCAUAUUUCCCUGCCACUUGCCUGUCCUCUCUAGGCCCAGCUGGUGCAGGCACUCUGCUCCUCAGAGGGUCAAGGGGCAUAAGGAAGGGAAGGCUAUUUAGCCUGGGUCCAAGGGUCUGUUGGCAGAGUACAAAUAGCAAUUUCCUGAAAAAGCAGAGCCUGUCCUCAUCAGGGAGCAGCCUAAUGAUCCCAGGACAAGAGAACUGCCACCAUCUGCUUCAUCAGGGCCCCCUGAACUGGAGGAGAAAGUGGACAGCUAAGGACUUAAGCCCAGGCACGCUCACCAAGUGCCACCCUGUGGCCUGGCUGUGUGGCCUAGCUGCCUGUGUGCCUAGCUGCCUGUGUGCCUAGCUGUGCGUGGCAGCCUCAGGUGCUGGGAGCUAUGCUGCUUUCAGUCUGCUCAGACCGCAGGCCCAUGAGCUGUGUGGAGCUCCAGGCUAGCGAUGUAAGCCAGCUGCAACUAAAAGUAGGGAAUCCUGAUCUCAAAUCUCAGUCCAUGGAAGAGAAAGCCAUGAAAAAGCAAGGGCAGGACAAGAAGCCAGAUGAGAGGAGAUGCGCCAGGGCCAAGACCUGAGGAAGCUGGAAGGAGUCACCCUGUCUAGCUGCCAGGUCAGAGUCUCAGAAUUCUAUCAUGAACGACAAAGGCAGGUCUUCCCUGUAUUUCUUUAAUUUCCUAAUAGCCAUAUUUAUUUAUUUAUUCUUGUGGUACUGGGAUUGAAUCCAGGGUUUCUACCACUGAGCCCCAGCCCUUUAGUUUUUAUAUUUUGAGCCAGAGUCUUGCUAAGUUUCUAAGGCCAACCUCAAGCUUACAAUCCUCCUGCCUCAGGCUUUGGAGUGGCUAGGAUUAAAGGUCUGUGCCACCACGCCUGGCAAGUGGCUACAUCCCCCCACCCCACCCCAUGGUGCUAGGGAUUGAACCCAGGGCCUCAUGCACAACAGGCAAGUGCUCUACCCCCGAGCCACAUUCACCAGACCAAGAAACCACAUUUUAAAAAGAAAAAACAACAGGUCAAAUUAAGAAUGCAUUUCAUUUAACUGAAUAUACCCAAAAUAUUACAACAUGUAAUCAGUAUAAAAAUUAAUAAUGAGGGGCUGGGGUUGUGGUUCAGAGGAAGAGCACUUGCCUAGUAUGCAUGAGGCACUGGAUUUGACCCUCAGCAUCGUGUAAAAAUAAAUGUAUUGUGUACACUGAUAACUAAAAAAUAAAUAUUUAAAAACA
RNAcentral lists this long non-coding RNA (2178 nucleotides) under Marmota monax (woodchuck). Lineage: Eukaryota; Metazoa; Chordata; Mammalia; Rodentia; Sciuridae. The record is from RNAcentral.